This 233-nucleotide unclassified non-coding RNA is filed under the name uncultured fungus. Its description in RNAcentral is "sequence contains ITS2". The record is from RNAcentral. Lineage: Eukaryota; Fungi.
AACUCUCAACCCCGCCUUGACUCGCGUCGAGGUUGCUUUGGGUUUGGAUCAUGACCCGUUGCUGGCUGCUCCGGUGGCCUGCUGGGUUGAAAUACAUCAAGCUGAAUCCUAUUCGUGCGGCUUGACCUGUUGUUGUAAGCAUCCAACUUUCAAUGGGAACGCACUGUGGGCAUGAGCUUUACCAAAUGGAUGAACCACUUCGUGGACGUCUUUGUUGACGGACGCCUAGUGCA